GAUUUUUGAGAAAAGUACAAAUGUUGAUUCCACAUAGUUGUUAAUCAUGAUGUCAUCACAGUGGAAAUUCAAAAUUAAUGAUUUUUGAUUUUCUUAGCCAUGGAAUAAUAAUUAAAAUAGGAAACACUAUUUGUGACACCUGAUUCUAUAUCAAAAUCAUUUUAAUUUUCUUAUAACCAGUAUAGGUGCAUUUUUUAAAAUCCAAUCACAACCCACAUAGUUGAAAAUACAUAUUAAAAGUGCUCUUCAUUAGCUAAUUUUUAUCACAUCAAAUAUGAAGACCUUAAGAAUCUAUUUUAGUUAAUUUUGCAUAUUAAGAUGAACAAUUUCAAACAUAAUUUUUAAUCAAAUGAAUAUUUCUUAUCAGCAAAAAUGUAUCGGAUGUAAUGAUUUAGCACGGGUCUUUUAACCAAAAGUCUGUAUAGCUUACCUGAUCACCAUUUUUCUGUGAUCAUAAUGUCCGUUAUACUUGUUGUCUACAGAAUUUGGUAACUUGUGAACUUGAUUGAAAAUUGAAUUAUUGACACCUCUGCAGGUAUCGAGAUCAUUGCCAUCACCACAAAUUGAUAGUUGGUAGUUCAGCUUCAUUGAAUGAAAUAUAUUUACUUAAAUUUCAGUAUACAAGGAAUCUAUUCACUGAAAUUCCAAGAAGAUUCCAUGACUUGCUUGUCAUACAACAAACAACAGAAUAUGGACGUGAUUCCUAGAAUUAGAACUUGAAUGGGUCAGACUUGAAUACAUGCAAAGUCAUGUAGCAAUAUUAAAGGUGUUGUACUUCAGGAAAAGGGGAAGUGUAUUUGUUGGAAGAUGGAUAAAGAAAAAUUGGAGCAUGCACUAGACUUCUUUAAAUCCUGCUUUUUUAUCAGGUAACAUCAUUGAGUACAAAAGAAAUGUACCUUCACAGCAGACAACUUAUAACCUUUCGACAAGAAAUUGGGACUGCCUGCCAUUCAACCAUUGUACAUAUAUGAAUUUACCAGUCCUGUUGUGAAGAAACUUAUUUCAUCAUCUUUCAAGGGCCAUGUUAUUUAGGAUUUUAAUUACUUGUCCUGCAUCACAAGCUUAAAAAGACUUAUUAACCAGAUAAUGAGAUUGUUAUGAGAUUGAUCACUGUUCGUUAUCUUCACCUUGGAUAAUGACAAGAUUUCAUAGCUUGAGGAGUACCAGGAAAAUUUACUUGCAGCAAAAUUGUACAUAAAGAGAGACUCACUCAAGCAUGAAUGUAGAAUAAUUAUAAAGAUACAGUAGAGAGAGAGAGAGAGAGAGAGAGAGAGAGAGAGAGAGAGAGAGAGAGAGAAUUAUAUGGUGAUAUAAUUAAACUCAUUGUCUUCAAUGGGUAUGUCAUGUCAGUAGAGAAUCAUGAUUCAUAUGGUGAUAUUUUUCAAUUACAUACUCGUUUCAGUGCAAUGGCAUUGUACAAAUAAAUAUUUUAAGUGUUGUUAGGGAAAGUGGUUGCUAUGGUGAUAUGUGUAAACAUAUUGUCUUCCAUGGGUCCGACAUGUCAGUAAAUAAUUACAUGUUGAUAUAAUUGUAUUAUAUUCUCAUUUGAAGGCAAUUGGAAUUGUACAGUUUGAAAUGUUUGCUUGUUGCUAGGGAAAAUUGGCUGCUAUGGUGAUAUAGUUAAACCUGAUGUCUUCAUUGGAUUCAACAUAUCAGUAGAAAAUCAUAUAUUGGUAUAUUUGCAUUAGGUUCUCAUUCCAGUGCAAUUUAAUCAUACAACUUUAAAUUUUAUGUGCGUUGCUAAGAAAAAUCAGUUGCUAUGGUGAUAUGGUUGAAGUCUGAUUUCUCCAAUUGGUCUGAAAUGUCAAUAAAUUAAAGUGAACCCAGAUGAUUUGUAUUUAUUUUCAGUUAAUGGAAUCAUUUUAGUGCAUAUAUUGCAGAUAUUCUUGUUUUAUUGUGUUGGAAAUGGGCCUGAAAGAGUUGCCUAGCAACCGUUACUAUGUGCAUUUCCGACUCUUUUGAUUUUUAUUUUGAGUACGCUUAGUAUUGAUUGUUUAGAAAAUAUGUAUCAAAAUUUGGCACUUUUCGGAUAACUAAAGUAAUAUGUAUUUAAAAUACCUUAAAAUUGUCGAAUUUACAGAAAAUUGAUAAAUAUUAAAACAAUGCCUAUUCCAAAGUCCUCUACAGAUACCAUAUAAUAGUAUUUCAUUAGUAUUGUACAUUUUUAUGUUGAAGUAA
This is a long non-coding RNA of Ostrea edulis (European flat oyster), 2178 nucleotides long. RefSeq lists it as uncharacterized. The transcript is spliced from 3 exons. Lineage: Eukaryota; Metazoa; Mollusca; Bivalvia; Ostreida; Ostreidae. The record is from RefSeq and is a predicted model, not a curated record.